Molecule: ribosomal RNA, 391 nt
Filed under: uncultured bacterium
Lineage: Bacteria
Description: bacterial SSU rRNA
Rfam family: Bacterial small subunit ribosomal RNA
Source: RNAcentral
GACGAACGCUGGCGGCGUGCUUAACACAUGCAAGUCGAGCGGUAAGGCCCUUUCGGGGGUACACGAGCGGCGAACGGGUGAGUAACACGUGGGUGACCUGCCCUCAGCUCUGGGAUAGGCCUGGGAAACCGGGUCUAAUACCGGAUAUGACUCCAUGACGCAUGUUGUGGGGUGGAAAGCCUUGUGCGGCUGAGGAUGGGCCCGCGGCCUAUCAGCUUGUUGGUGGGGNGAUGGCCUACCAAGGCGACGACGGGUAGCCGGCCUGAGAGGGCGACCGGCCACACUGGGACUGAGACACGGCCCAGACUCCUACGGGAGGCAGCAGUGGGGAAUCUUGCGCAAUGGGCGAAAGCCUGACGCAGCGACGCCGCGUGAGGGAUGACGGCCUGGU